Molecule: long non-coding RNA, 1209 nt
Filed under: Nicotiana tabacum (common tobacco)
Lineage: Eukaryota; Viridiplantae; Streptophyta; Magnoliopsida; Solanales; Solanaceae
Description: long non-coding RNA (NTAB_LNC018323)
Source: RNAcentral
UUGUAAACAAAAGGGCCAUUGUGCAAAAGAUACUGCUGCUUUGAUGAAGAGUAGUAGUUCCCGCGGAGGUGUCGGUCAUGCCACUUCCUGUUGGUCCAAGUCCAAAAACUGGAUUAGUCCCUGUUGUGGUUGUGCCUGUUCCAGUGCCCAUUCCUGUGCCAGUCCCGGUGCUGGUGCUGGUGCCGGUGCCACCUGUUGAUGGAUUUGUGGUUCCUGUUGUUGGAGUUGUGCUUCCACCACUGUUAUUGACAACCAGAAACAAAAGGAUAUCAAGAAACAACAAAAAUAGGCAUUCCAACCAAUUAACCGAUAUAAAAUACUACCUCAAGUUCAUAUUUUCUUUAUUUUAAGAUUUUUGCACACCCUUUAAGAGUACUUGUCUACACUACCCUUUACUCUCUUUAAAUAUGUCAUUUAAUUAACACUCAGACUAAUUAAGCCCGUCAGGGAGUAGUUUUUAGAAAGAAUAAAAAGUACUAGUAGUAAUGAUUUCUUGUUUUUAAUAUUUUGAAAUACUAAUUAAAAAAAAAAGUAGUAGUGCUAGUUAGGCUUGCAAAACAACUAAUAUUUGGUACUCCAUAUAAGAAGUUACAGGAACCGAAUUUGAGAAGGCAAGUUGCAUGAUACAAUUUAAAUGAAGGACCUAACAUGAUUUAAAUAUGUUAAAUGAUGGUAGAUACACACCUGAAAUUUUCAUUAUAGCAAAAGAGAAAGGUACACCCUACUCAUUGAACAUUAAUAGACAGAUGAUAUCAACAUCGAGACAGCUCACAUGCGCAUAUAUUGAAAGAAACAAACACUCAACAAAUGAAGAUUUGAUAGUGACAGUACACUAACAAUGGCUAUUGGAAGAUUAUGGUGAAGUAGAAACAGUACCAGCAAUCUUAUAAUUACACAACAAUAUACCAUUGUGUCAUAAUCAAGUUACACUUUUGCAUUUAGGCAUGAAUAAUUGCAACCUUUUCUUAUUUAUAAACUUUUUCACACCCAAAGACACAGUUUUAACUUCCAUUACCAACCCCUUACCUUCAAAAACCUACAAUUUGUAAUUAACACAAAUUUGACAUCAUCAGGUCACCAAUUUUAUAUUUAAGAUUACAAAUCUUGCAACUUAAGGUGGUGUAUAUAACUCACACUAAUAAAAAAGAACCUUUUUCUUCCUUUUUUCAAGACUCAAGAGGAUGAGAAUGAGCUUUAAGUUGAAGCUAU